GUCCACGCCGUAAACGAUGGAUGCUAGAUGUUGGGGGGCUUGCCCUUCGGUGUCGUAGCUAACGCGAUAAGCAUCCCGCCUGGGGAGUACGGCCGCAAGGUUAAAACUCAAAGGAAUUGACGGGGGCCCGCACAAGCGGUGGAGCAUGUGGUUUAAUUCGACGCAACGCGCAGAACCUUACCAGCCCUUGACAUGGGUAGUAUGGGCUCGAGAGAUCGGGUUCUUCAGUUCGGCUGGCUACCACACAGGUGCUGCAUGGCUGUCGU
Molecule: ribosomal RNA, 266 nt
Filed under: uncultured bacterium
Lineage: Bacteria
Description: partial 16S ribosomal RNA
Rfam family: Bacterial small subunit ribosomal RNA
Source: RNAcentral